AGACAACACAAUCUCAGUAGCUUCUAAAAACAUGUUACCUAGGAAUAAAACUAAUACAAGAUAUAAAAUACCUCUACACAGAAAGCUACAAAAUAUUACUGAAUGAACCAGGUGCAGUGGCUCAUGCCUGUAAUCCUAGCACUUUGGGAGGCUAAGGUGGGUGGAUCACGAAGUCAGGUGUUUGAGACCAGCCUGGCCAACAUGGUGAAAACCCAUCUCUACUAAAAAUACAAAAAUUAGCCAGGCAUGGUGGUGCAUGCCUGUAAUCCCAGCAACUCAGGUGACUGAGGCAGGAGAAUUGCUUGAACCCAGGAGGCAGAGGUUGCAGUGAGCCGAGAUUUUGCCAUUGCACUGCAGCCCAGAACUCCUGGGCUCAAGCAUCCAUCAGGCCGAAUCAGGGUGUUGACCUUGGCCACAUCAAUGUCAUAGAGCUUCUUCACAGCCUGUUUGAUCUGGUGCUUGUUGGCUUUAACAUCCACAAUGAACACAAGUGUGUUGUUGUCUUCUAUCUUCUUCAUGGCAGACUCAGUGGUCAGUGGAAACUUGAUGAUCGGAAGAGCA
RNAcentral lists this long non-coding RNA (561 nucleotides) under Callithrix jacchus (white-tufted-ear marmoset). RNAcentral describes it as "lncRNA (ENSCJAG00000076345.1)". The record is from RNAcentral. Lineage: Eukaryota; Metazoa; Chordata; Mammalia; Primates; Cebidae.